CCUACGGGAGGCUGCAGUGGGGGAUAUUGGACAAUGGGGGGAACCCUGAUCCAGCGACGCCGCGUGAGUGAAGAAGUAUUUCGGUAGGUAAAGCUCGGUCAGCAGGGAAGAAAGAAAUGACGGUACCGGACCAAGAAGCAACGGCUAACUACGUGCCAGCAGCCGCGGUAAUACGUAGGGGGCAAGCGUUAUCCGGAAUUACUGGGUGUAAAGGGAGCGUAGACGGUUAAGUAAGUCUGGAGGGAAAGGCCGGGGCCCCUCCCCGGGACUGCUCUGGAAACUAUUGAACUUGAGUGCAGGAGCGGUAAGCGGACUUCCUAGUGUAGCGGUGCACUGCGUAGAUAUUAGGAGGAACACCAGUGGCGAAGGCGGCUUACUGGACUGUACCUGACGUUGAGGCUCGAAAGCGUGGGGAGCAAACAGGAUUAGAUCCCCCAGUAGUC
RNAcentral lists this ribosomal RNA (443 nucleotides) under uncultured bacterium. RNAcentral's name for it is "partial 16S ribosomal RNA". It matches the Rfam family "Bacterial small subunit ribosomal RNA", at positions 338 to 795 of the family's 1533-position model. The record is from RNAcentral.